AACACAUCUCAUCAUCAGCUUGAAACUCAUAGCUGGACUUCAAAUUUGACCCUGUGCUGCCAAUUUUUUUGUGCACACUGUGUUCAAGAGCCUCAGGAAUUUGCUGAUCCAGUUACUCCUGUUUCAUCUGUGAUGGAACAUAGCAGAAGGAAACCUGCCAGAGCCUUAAAAUCCUGAAGUUCUCAAUGGGAGCAGGACCAACAGCAUUGCAGAAAGGAAAACAUCUUCCAUGUCAUUCACUUUAAGAAGAGGUGACCCCUUAAAAAGCAAGUCAGAAUAUGUCACAAGGUAACAGCUAACCUUUUCUCUUCUUUAAUUAACUAUUUCUGUGUU
Dromaius novaehollandiae (emu) is the source of this 333-nucleotide long non-coding RNA. RefSeq lists it as uncharacterized. The transcript is spliced from 4 exons. The record is from RefSeq and is a predicted model, not a curated record. Lineage: Eukaryota; Metazoa; Chordata; Aves; Casuariiformes; Dromaiidae.